AGUGAACGCUGGCGGCAGGCCUAACACAUGCAAGUCGAACGGCAGCACAAGAGAGCUUGCUCUCUGGGUGGCGAGUGGCGGACGGGUGAGGCAUGCAUCGGAAUCUGCCCAUUUGUGGGGGAUAACCUCGGGAAACCGGGACUAAUACCGCAUACGACCUACGGGUGAAAGCAGGGGAUCUUCGGACCUUGCGCAGAUGGAUGAGCCGAUGCCGGAUUAGCUAGUUGGAGGGGUAAAGGCCCACCAAGGCGACGAUCCGUAGCUGGCCUGAGAGGAUGAUCAGCCACACUGGGACUGAGACACGGCCCAGACUCCUACGGGAGGCAGCAGUGGGGAAUAUUGGACAAUGGGCGCAAGCCUGAUCCAGCCAUGCCGCGUGUGUGAAGAAGGCCUUCGGGUUGUAAAGCACUUUUGUUGGGAAAGAAAAGCAGCCGGUUAAUACCCGGUUGUCAUGACGGUACCCAAAGAAUAAGCACCGGCUAACUUCGUG
Molecule: ribosomal RNA, 490 nt
Filed under: uncultured bacterium
Lineage: Bacteria
Description: partial 16S ribosomal RNA
Rfam family: Bacterial small subunit ribosomal RNA
Source: RNAcentral